UAUACAUGCAAGGCGAGCCCAGGGACGUGUAACUUGCUUCUCAGAUGUUAGCGGCGGACGGGUGAGUAACACGUGGAUAACCUACCUAUAAGACUGGGAUAACUUCGGGAAACCGGAGCUAAUACCGGAUAAUAUUUUGAACCGCAUGGUUCAAAAGUGAAAGACGGUCUUGCUGUCACUUAUAGAUGGAUCCGCGCUGCAUUAGCUAGUUGGUAAGGUAACGGCUUACCAAGGCAACGAUGCAUAGCCGACCUGAGAGGGUGAUCGGCCACACUGGAACUGAGACACGGUCCANACUCCUACGGGAGGCAGCAGUAGGGAAUCUUCCGCAAUGGGCGAAAGCCUGACGGAGCAACGCCGCGUGAGUGAUGAAGGUCUUCGGAUCGUAAAACUCUGUUAUUAGGGAAGAACAUAUGUGUAAGUAACUGUGCACAUCUUGACGGUACCUAAUCAGAAAGCCACGGCUAACUACGUGCCAGCAGCCGCGGUAAUACGUAGGUGGCAAGCGUUAUCCGGAAUUAUUGGCGUAAAGCGCGCGUAGGCGGUUUUUAAGUCUGAU
RNAcentral lists this ribosomal RNA (559 nucleotides) under Staphylococcus aureus. RNAcentral describes it as "bacterial SSU rRNA". It matches the Rfam family "Bacterial small subunit ribosomal RNA", at positions 50 to 593 of the family's 1533-position model. The record is from RNAcentral. Lineage: Bacteria; Bacillati; Bacillota; Bacilli; Caryophanales; Staphylococcaceae.